UAAUUGGUGAGCCCGUGGGGCCCACCUUGUUUAUUUUUUUUAUGUUUUCUGAUCUCUCUCUUCUUCUUCUUCGUUUCUCCCUCCCGUAGCUCUCUCCUUCUCAACACUGCUUCUCUCAGUCUGAUCCCUCCCGUGGUACACAAGCCGUACACUGCUUCUCUCAUCUAGCAUGUCACAGUCUUCAACCAGUCUAUCAAUCUAUCAGUCUUCAAUUUCCAUGAUCCUCAAGAAUUAAAGAAUUCAAUUAUUCCAUCAUUCCAUAAAAAAGACAUUGAAGUUUAGUUAAUUGGUCAACAACCCAAAUUAUGGAAAGAUAUUUCAAAAGAAAAACACAACCUGAGAUAUUAGAACCGUCUCCAAAGAGUCCAAAGAACAAUGAAAGUAGUUCAAAACAAACUUGUGUGGAUUCUAUGGAAAUUAACUCGGAAACUCUCCAGUAUGAUCCUGGAUUGCGUAGACCGAUUUUGAGUUAUCAUCCUAAUGUUCGAGACCAAGUUCGAAGAGCCUAUCUCCAAAAUAAACCUUGUCAACCAAAAA
Molecule: non-coding RNA, 537 nt
Organism: Malus domestica (apple)
Lineage: Eukaryota; Viridiplantae; Streptophyta; Magnoliopsida; Rosales; Rosaceae
Source: RefSeq, a predicted model, not a curated record